RNAcentral lists this ribosomal RNA (305 nucleotides) under uncultured bacterium. RNAcentral describes it as "bacterial SSU rRNA". It matches the Rfam family "Bacterial small subunit ribosomal RNA", at positions 338 to 659 of the family's 1533-position model. The record is from RNAcentral.
CCUACGGGACGCAGCAGUGGGGAAUAUUGCACAAUGGGGGAAACCCUGAUGCAGCAACGCCGCGUGAGUGAAGAAGUAUUUCGGUAUGUAAAGCUCUAUCAGCAGGGAAGAAGAAAGACGGUACCUGACUAAGAAGCCCCGGCUAACUACGUGCCAGCAGCCGCGGCAAUACGUAGGGGGCAAGCGUUAUCCGGAUUUACUGGGUGUAAAGGGAGCGUAGACGGUUACGCAAGUCUGGAGUGAAAGGCGGGGGCCCAACCCCCGGACUGCUUUGGAAACUGUAUAACUGGAGUGCAGGAGCGGUA